CCCAAUAGUAGUCCUGCUCCUUUGAUUAUGCAGUCGAAGCAGGAGUUGGUUGGCACUGUUGAGGAAGAAAGAAAGGAAGAGGGAAUGUUCCUGACAUGGGAGGAUUUGCAGGUGACAGUUCCAAAUGGAAGGAAAGGUAGGAAACCGAUUCUUAAGGCUCUAACUGGUUAUGCCAAGCCAGGGCAACUUUUGGCAGUAAUGGGUCCUUCUGGCUGUGGCAAAUCAACACUUCUUGAUGCCUUAGCAGGAAGACUGGUUUCAAGCUCAAAGCAAACAGGGAAAAUUCUAAUUAAUGGCCAUAAACAUGAACUGGCUUAUGGAACAUCUGCAUACGUGACACAUGAUGAUGCUGUGUUAUCAACAUUAACAGUAGGAGAAGCAGUGUCCUAUUCAGCUCAUCUCCAAUUUCCAGAGUCAAUGUCCAACAAAGAGAAGAAAGAGAGAGUAGAUUUUACAAUCAGACAAAUGGGUCUACAAGAGACCACUCACACAAGGAUUAAAGGGAAGGCUUCUAAAGGCCUUAGUGAGGGGCAAAAGAGGAGACUUGCCAUUUGUAUUCAGAUUCUUACAAGCCCCAAACUUCUCCUUCUUGAUGAACCAACCAGUGGCCUUGACAGUGCAGCUUCCUACUAUGUCAUGAGCAGAAUUGCAAGCCUAAAGAUAAGAGAUGGCAUCAAAAGAACAAUUGUUGCAUCCAUCCAUCAGCCCAG
RNAcentral lists this small RNA (710 nucleotides) under Vigna angularis var. angularis. RNAcentral's name for it is "Non-protein coding transcript". The record is from RNAcentral. Lineage: Eukaryota; Viridiplantae; Streptophyta; Magnoliopsida; Fabales; Fabaceae.